UACGGAGGGUGCGAGCGUUGUCCGGAAUCACUGGGCGUAAAGGGCGCGUAGGCGGCCUGCUAAGUAGGGGGUGAAAUCCUGCGGCUUAACCGCAGGGCUGCCUUCUAAACUGUCAGGCUGGAGCACAGUAGAGGCAGGUGGAAUUCCCGGUGUAGCGGUGGAAUGCGUAGAGAUCGGGAAGAACAUCAGUGGCGAAGGCGGCGUGCUGGGCUGUUGCUGACGCUGAGGCGCGACAGCGUGGGGAGCAAACAGG
RNAcentral lists this ribosomal RNA (253 nucleotides) under uncultured bacterium. Its description in RNAcentral is "partial 16S ribosomal RNA". It matches the Rfam family "Bacterial small subunit ribosomal RNA", at positions 524 to 776 of the family's 1533-position model. The record is from RNAcentral.